RNAcentral lists this long non-coding RNA (588 nucleotides) under Pongo abelii (Sumatran orangutan). RNAcentral describes it as "lincRNA". Lineage: Eukaryota; Metazoa; Chordata; Mammalia; Primates; Hominidae. The record is from RNAcentral.
GUGCGUGGUUGCGUUUAACCCAGAUACCUUGCGGCCGCUGUGCCUCACCAACGUCUGUGGGCGUGGAACAGGCCCUGGGUUCUCCUACUGGGAAAAAUGAAGUUCAGGUACUCUAUGCUAUAUGUGGUUCCACAAUCCUCAGCAUGUUAACUGAAGCCUUGUUGAGUUUAACAAAGGUGCCGUUGAAGAUCUGGGGAAAGUGAAAAAGGUGCGACAGACUUUUGGGCUCACACCAUUGAUACAUUUGAUUCUUAAGGCAAGUGACAAUUUGGGUUUCACAGGUAUAUAGAAAUUGCCAGCUUUUCUUGCCAUAUAUUCCUUGUGACAGUGCUGAGCUUUUUUUUUUUCUUAUUGCUUGCUUUUUCUUGGACUUGAUUUUUUAAAUUAUGUUUCCUUUCUUCCUUCCUUCUUUCCUUCCUUCCUUCUUUCUUUGGUGUUUUUUUUUUUGUUUUUUUUGUUUUUUUGUUUUUUUGUUUUUUUGAGACAGGAUCUUGUUCUAUUGUCCUGGCACAGUCACGGCUCACUGCAGCCUUGACCUCCUGGGCUCCAGCAAUCCUCCUACCUCAGCCUCCCUAGUACCUGAGGUUG